This 505-nucleotide ribosomal RNA is filed under the name uncultured bacterium. RNAcentral describes it as "partial 16S ribosomal RNA". It matches the Rfam family "Bacterial small subunit ribosomal RNA", at positions 28 to 507 of the family's 1533-position model. The record is from RNAcentral.
GACGAACGCUGGCGGCGUACCUAAUACAUGCAAGUAGAACGCACAGUUUAUACCGUAGCUUGCUACACCAUAGACUGUGAGUUGCGAACGGGUGAGUAACGCGUAGGUAACCUGCCUGGUAGCGGGGGAUAACUAUUGGAAACGAUAGCUAAUACCGCAUAAUAUUAAUUAUUGCAUGAUAAUUAAUUGAAAGGUGCAAUUGCACCACUACCAGAUGGACCUGCGUUGUAUUAGCUAGUAGGUGAGGUAACGGCUCACCUAGGCGACGAUACAUAGCCGACUUAGGAGGGAGAUCGGCCAAACUGGGACUGAGACACGGCCCAGAAUCCUACGGGAGGCAGCAGUAGGGAAUCUUCGGCAAUGGACGAAAGUCUGACCGAGCAACGCCGCGUGAGUGAAGAAGGUUUUCGGAUCGUAAAGCUCUGUUGUAAGAGAAGAACGGGUGUGAGAGUGGAAAGUUCACACUGUGACGGUAUCUUACCAGAAAGGGACGGCUAACUACGUG